Molecule: non-coding RNA, 76 nt
Organism: Acanthosepion pharaonis
Lineage: Eukaryota; Metazoa; Mollusca; Cephalopoda; Sepiida; Sepiidae
Source: the annotation of a GenBank genome assembly
UGAUCACCGUAGUUAAGCAACGUCGAGUCUGGUCAGUACCUAGAUGGGUGACCUCUUGGGAAUACCAGGUAUGGUA